GCUUACGGCCACACCACCCUGAGCACGCCUGCUCUCGUCUGAUCUCGGAAGCCAAGCAGGGUCGGGCCUGGUUAGUACUUGGAUGGGAGACCGCCUGGGAAUUCCAGGUGCUGUAAGCUU
RNAcentral lists this ribosomal RNA (120 nucleotides) under Misgurnus anguillicaudatus (oriental weatherfish). The record is from RNAcentral. Lineage: Eukaryota; Metazoa; Chordata; Actinopteri; Cypriniformes; Cobitidae.